Molecule: ribosomal RNA, 301 nt
Filed under: uncultured bacterium
Lineage: Bacteria
Description: partial 16S ribosomal RNA
Rfam family: Bacterial small subunit ribosomal RNA
Source: RNAcentral
CAGCAGCCGCGGGAAUACGUAGGGGGCAAGCGUUAUCCGGAAUUACUGGGUGUAAAGGGAGCGUAGACGGUUAAACAAGUCUGAAGUGAAAUGCCGGGGCUCAACCCCGGAGCUGCUUUGGGAACUGUAGAACUGGAGUGUCGGAGGGGUAAGCGGAAUUCCCAGUGUAGCGGUGAAAUGCGUAGAUAUUGGGAGGAACACCAGUGGCGAAGGCGGCUUUCUGGACUGUAACUGACGCUGAGGCUCGAAAGCCAGGGGAGCGAACGGGAUUAGAUACCCCUGUAGUCCCUGUCUCUUAUAC